This 216-nucleotide ribosomal RNA is filed under the name Glomeromycotina sp. Its description in RNAcentral is "partial small subunit ribosomal RNA". The stretch from base 40 to 216 matches the Rfam family "Eukaryotic small subunit ribosomal RNA", at positions 686 to 864 of the family's 1831-position model. The record is from RNAcentral. Lineage: Eukaryota; Fungi; Glomeromycota.
GGGUCAGUAGGUCGGUCGUGCCACCGGUACGUACUGGUCUAACUGAUUCCUCCUUCCUGAAGAACCGUAAUGCCAUUAAUUUGGUGUUGCGGGGAAACAGGACUGUUACUUUGAAAAAAUUAGAGUGUUUAAAGCAAGCUAACGCUUGAAUACAUUAGCAUGGAAUAAUGAAAUAGGACGAUCGAUCCUAUUUUGUUGGUUUCUAGGAUUGACGUA